Molecule: non-coding RNA, 104 nt
Filed under: Bacillus sp. (in: firmicutes)
Lineage: Bacteria; Bacillati; Bacillota; Bacilli; Caryophanales; Bacillaceae
Also listed under: 1 other name
Description: Bacillus sp. SAM-I sequence
Rfam family: SAM riboswitch aptamer (S box leader)
About the family: The SAM riboswitch is found upstream of a number of genes which code for proteins involved in methionine or cysteine biosynthesis in Gram-positive bacteria. The SAM riboswitch acts at the level of transcription termination control. The predicted structure consists of a complex stem-loop region followed by a single stem loop terminator region.
Source: RNAcentral
AGCUUAUCCAGAGAGACUGAGGGACUGGCCCGAGGACGUCCAGCAACCAUCAUUUAAAGAAAGGUGCUAAUUCCUGCAGGGUGUUUCAUUCUGAAAGAUACGGU